UUUCCGUAGGUGAACCUGCGGAAGGAUCAUUCAUAAUAGGUGUUUUAUGGCACUUUUUAAAUCCAUAUCCACCUUGUGUGCAAUGUCAGUCGGUCCUCUUUAUGGAGAUCGGCCAAACAUCAACCUAAUUUUUUAACUCUUUGUCUGAAAAAUAUUAUGAGUAAUAUAAUUCAAAAUACAACUUUCAACAACGGAUCUCUUGGCUCUC
This 208-nucleotide unclassified non-coding RNA is filed under the name plant metagenome. Its description in RNAcentral is "partial contains small subunit ribosomal RNA, internal transcribed spacer 1, and 5.8S ribosomal RNA". The record is from RNAcentral.